Molecule: long non-coding RNA, 979 nt
Organism: Helianthus annuus (common sunflower)
Lineage: Eukaryota; Viridiplantae; Streptophyta; Magnoliopsida; Asterales; Asteraceae
Exons: 3
Source: RefSeq, a predicted model, not a curated record
CCUCUCAAUGUUGAUUUGAGCGGCAAUAUACUCCUCACACGCCUCUUCCUUCCACAAUACGAUUCACAAACCCUAAUUCAUCAAUCGGCUCCUUUGAUUAAAUAGGUAUUGGGUGCGGAUCUAAACCAGACCCAUGGACAAACAUCCUAUAGAGAGAUGGUGAUGGCAACCUCAGAUGACGAUGGUGAUGACAGUGGCACAUUCAGGUACCAAUGACGAUGGUGAUGGCAGGCUGAGGCGAUAAUAGUGAUGACAACGGCAGACCAUUCAAUUCCACUGUCGCUCAUAUUUAAACCCUGUAUGGAUAGUACUUCUUUUUUUAAUUCUUACAUAAAUAUAAUUUUUCAACAAUUUCUUUGAUUUCAUCAGGUUAGUGAAUAUCAUCACGAUUUUUUUCGAUUUCAGUUUAUUCAAACUAUCAAUUUCAGUUUGUACACUGUUUAUCUUUAUUUUUUUCUAAUCUUUUUAUUGUUAAGACGCGGGCUACUAGCUCAUAAGGGGCUAGAUACUAAGAAGUUGCUACCGAUCUGAAUCAUUGGAGUUGAAGGUGUUAGUUUAUAUAUAAUAGAUUUUGGUGGUAAAUGGGAAUUGUGUAUGAAAUAAAUAGAUGCAUAUAAAAUUGUCUCACAGGUUGAUGAAUCUGUUGCAGAUUUUGGACUUUGGCUCUGCAAAGCCUGAUUUCGGAACUGAUUUUGGCCUUUUUCAUAUAAAAUUGUCUAAUAGGUUGAUGGAUAUGAGUCUUGAAGCAUCAUCUGAUGGAUUUGACUGAGGGUGUAUAUGUCGAUGCUACCGGUAGUGCUUCACUAUAUGUGGCCACAAAUGAUUCUGUUUAUCAGAUUUUGGACGUUGGCUCUGCAAAGCCUGAUUUCGGAUCUGAUUUUGGCCUUUUCAUAUAAAAUUGUCUCAUAGGUUGAUUGAUAUGGGUCUUGAAGCAUCAUAUGAUGGAUUUGACUGCAAGAUUGUGUUUUUGGAGGCAAGG